Molecule: long non-coding RNA, 485 nt
Organism: Melopsittacus undulatus (budgerigar)
Lineage: Eukaryota; Metazoa; Chordata; Aves; Psittaciformes; Psittaculidae
Exons: 3
Source: RefSeq, a predicted model, not a curated record
CCCCUGCGCGCCGCCGCCGCCGCAGCCCCUCCGUCCUCCCCAGCUCUAUGCGGCGGGGCCGGCGGAGCCGCAGGCCGCGCUCCCACACACAGGCUGACCUCGGCCUGCUGAGCCUGCUGCGCUGAUUGCACAGCGUUUUUGGGACACAUCUCUGUUGGAUUUUAAUAUAUGUCGUGCUAACAACAGCUUUCAACUAUGGAAUCGACAUGAAUGACUUCAAAGCCUCCAUGGAAGCACUGGCGCAUGGCAAGUGAGACUUCAAGAUGACCCAGAAAUAAUGGAUGAAUGAAAGGGCUGACGUAGAGCCCAUCGUGUUUGCACAGCAGGUACAGGAGCACUGGGCUCAUCUUGACACCCUUACAGCAGAGCAGUCCCCAUUCCUGAUGUCAUUUGGGGACCCUGCUCCCUUCUGUUUUUCCCUCCUUCCCUAUUUCCAGUUCCCAGCUGCUAAAGAGUGGCCAAACUUAUGUCCUUAGGUUUUAAAG